This 587-nucleotide ribosomal RNA is filed under the name uncultured bacterium. Its description in RNAcentral is "bacterial SSU rRNA". It matches the Rfam family "Bacterial small subunit ribosomal RNA", at positions 336 to 916 of the family's 1533-position model. The record is from RNAcentral.
CUCCUACGGGAGGCAGCAGUGGGGAAUUUUGGACAAUGGGGGCAACCCUGAUCCAGCAAUGCCGCGUGUGUGAAGAAGGCCUUCGGGUUGUAAAGCACUUUUGUCCGGAAAGAAAUGGCUCUGGUUAAUACCUGGGGUCGAUGACGGUACCGGAAGAAUAAGGACCGGCUGACUACGUGCCAGCAGCCGCGGUAAUACGUAGGGUCCAAGCGUUAAUCGGAAUUACUGGGCGUAAAGCGUGCGCAGGCGGUUGUGCAAGACCGAUGUGAAAUCCCCGAGCUUAACUUGGGAAUUGCAUUGGUGACUGCACGGCUAGAGUGUGUCAGAGGGGGGUAAAAUUCCACGUGUAGCAGUGAAAUGCGUAGAGAUGUGGAGGAAUACCGAUGGCGAAGGCAGCCCCCUGGGAUAACACUGACGCUCAUGCACGAAAGCGUGGGGAGCAAACAGGAUUAGAUACCCUGGUAGUCCACGCCCUAAACGAUGUCAACUAGUUGUUGGGGAUUCAUUUCCUUAGUAACGUAGCUAACGCGUGAAGUUGACCGCCUGGUGAGUACGGUCGCAAGAUUAAAACUCAAAGGAAUUGACGG